Non-coding RNA from Paramuricea clavata, 365 nucleotides. Lineage: Eukaryota; Metazoa; Cnidaria; Anthozoa; Malacalcyonacea; Plexauridae. The record is from the annotation of a GenBank genome assembly.
CAAAUUUAAAAACACUUUAAAACAGCAUUUAGCUGCACUUCACCGGUUUUGUUUGCUAUUUUGACUGCACUUAAUCGGUUUUGUUCGUUGCUGAAGUUACGAACUAAAACGUUUCGUAAAGUUAGUUAGUAGCUCAGCUUCGAGGAGAGACUUGAAAGAGUUGAAACAAGUGUACUUCGAGGAUUAAACAUAAUUAUCUGACCUAUUUAUACUGAUACGAUCAAUUGAUCAUGCCAGAAUACAAGUUGAUCUACUUCAAACCCAGAGGACGAGGUGAGAUGAUUCGCUUGACGUUUGCAGCAGGCGGUGUUAAAUAUGAAGACUGUAGACUGACUAGAGAAGAAUUCGAGGAUUUAAAAGCCAGU